GAGCUUGCUCUGGUGAUUAGUGGCGAACGGGUGAGUAACACGUGAGCAAUCUGCCCUUGACUCUGGGAUAAGCGUUGGAAACGACGUCUAAUACCGGAUACGACCCUCGGAGGCAUCUCCUGGGGGUGGAAAGAAUUUUGGUCAAGGAUGAGCUCGCGGCCUAUCAGCUAGUUGGUGAGGUAAUGGCUCACCAAGGCGACGACGGGUAGCCGGCCUGAGAGGGUGACCGGCCACACUGGGACUGAGACACGGCCCAGACUCCUACGGGAGGCAGCAGUGGGGAAUAUUGCACAAUGGGCGAAAGCCUGAUGCAGCAACGCCGCGUGAGGGACGACGGCCUUCGGGUUGUAAACCUCUUUUAGUAGGGAAGAAGCGAAAGUGACGGUACCUGCAGAAAAAGCACCGGCUAACUACGUGCCAGCAGCCGCGGUAAUACGUAGGGUGCAAGCGUUGUCCGGAAUUAUUGGGCGUAAAGAGCUCGUAGGCGGUUUGUCGCGUCUGCUGUGAAAACUGGAGGCUCAACCUCCAGCCUGCAGUGGGUACGGGCAGACUAGAGUGCGGUAGGGGAGAUUGGAAUUCCUGGUGUAGCGGUGGAAUGCGCAGAUAUCAGGAGGAACACCGAUGGCGAAGGCAGAUCUCUGGGCCGUAACUGACGCUGAGGAGCGAAAGCGUGGGGAGCGAACAGGAUUAGAUACCCUGGUAGUCCACGCCGUAAACGUUGGGAACUAGAUGUGGGGACCAUUCCACGGUCUCCGUGUCGCAGCUAACGCAUUAAGUUCCCCGCCUGGGGAGUACGGCCGCAAGGCUAAAACUCAAAGGAAUUGACGGGGGCCCGCACAAGCGGCGGAGCAUGCGGAUUAAUUCGAUGCAACGCGAAGAACCUUACCAAGGCUUGACAUAUACGAGAACGGGCCAGAAAUGGUCAACUCUUUGGACACUCGUAAACAGGUGGUGCAUGGUUGUCGUCAGCUCGUGUCGUGAGAUGUUGGGUUAAGUCCCGCAACGAGCGCAACCCUCGUCCUAUGUUGCCAGCACGUAAUGGUGGGAACUCAUGGGAUACUGCCGGGGUCAACUCGGAGGAAGGUGGGGAUGACGUCAAAUCAUCAUGCCCCUUAUGUCUUGGGCUUCACGCAUGCUACAAUGGCCGGUACAAAGGGCUGCAAUACCGUAAGGUGGAGCGAAUCCCAAAAAGCCGGUCUCAGUUCGGAUUGAGGUCUGCAACUCGACCUCAUGAAGUCGGAGUCGCUAGUAAUCGCAGAUCAGCAACGCUGCGGUGAAUACGUUCCCGGGCCUUGUACACACCGCCCGUCAAGUCAUGAAAGUCGGUAACACCCGAAGCCAGUGGCCUAACCCGUAA
Molecule: ribosomal RNA, 1357 nt
Filed under: bacterium TSBY-84
Lineage: Bacteria
Description: 16S ribosomal RNA
Rfam family: Bacterial small subunit ribosomal RNA
Source: RNAcentral